This is a long non-coding RNA of Pygocentrus nattereri (red-bellied piranha), 3904 nucleotides long. Lineage: Eukaryota; Metazoa; Chordata; Actinopteri; Characiformes; Serrasalmidae. The record is from Ensembl.
GAUGUAUGCUGCCAGCUACACCUGCACUUCAUCUAACCUUCAGGCUACUGAUCAGAAGGAUGAGGGUCUCACAUUUUGUGGUUCUUCUGCUGCUUCUGGUCAGAGAAGCAGCAAACCAGAUAGAAAACAGCACAACUACUCCAGAGCCAGCGACUACUGUAAGCAUCACAGACAGCAGCAUUGCAACUACACAGACUUCAGAUAAUGUGGUAAACAUCACAGACAGCAGCACCACAACUACACAGACAACUUCAGUGACUUCUGUAAGCAUCACAGAGAGCAGGAACGCAACUAUACAUACAACUACAGAGACUGUGACUUCUGUAAACACCACAGAGAGCAGCAGCGCAACUCCACAGACAACUGCAGGAACUGUGACUUCUGUAAACACCACAGAGAGCAGCAACGCAACUACACCGACAACUGCAGGAACUGUGACUUCUGUAAACACCACAGAGACCAGCAAUGCAACUACACCGACAACUGCAGGAACUGUGAUUUCUGUAAACACCACAGAGACCAGCAAUGCAACUAUACAGACAACUGCAGGAACUGUGACUUCUGUAAACACCACAGAGACCAGCAACGCAACUAUACAGACAACUGCAGGAACUGUGAUUUCUGUAAACACCACAGAGAGCAGCAACGCAACUACACCGACAACUGCAGGAAAUGUGACUUCCGUAAACACCACAGAGAGCAGCAACGCAACUAUACAGACAACUGCAGAAACUGUGACUUCUGUAAACACCACAGCGAGGAGCAACGCAACUACACCAACAACUGCAGGAACUGUGAUUUCUGUAAACACCACAGAGAGCAGCAACGCAACUACACCAACAACUGCAGGAACUGUGACUUCUGUAAACACCACAGAGACCAGCAACGCAACUACACCGACAACUGCAGGAACUGUGACUUCUGUAAACACCACAGAGACCAGCAACGCAACUACACCAACAACUGCAGGAACUGUGACGUCUGUAAACAUCACAGAGAGCAGCAACGCUACUACACCGACAACUGCAGGAACUGUGACUUCUGUAAACACCACAGAGAGCAGCAACGCAACUACACCAACAACUGCAGGAACUGUGAUUACACCAAACAUCACCUUCAGCACUGUACCAGCAUCUACAGAAUCAACCAUGCCUCCUUCAACAGUUGAAUUUUCAAGUACAUUACCAACUCCUCCAGUAAACACCAGCACUCCAUCAACAUCUUCCCCAUCAACCAUGGGUAGUACAACAGGCUCACCUACGACAUCAGGUUUUCCAAGUACAACAAGAAUUACAACUGCACCAACCAGCACUCCACCAAUACCUUUCCCAUGGAACAUGAACAGUACAACAAGCCCACCUACGACAUUAGCACCUACAACUACACCUGUCACCACUCCACUCACCAGCACUCCACCAACUCCUUCCCCAACAACUAUGAGUACUAAAACAACUCCAACUAGUGGGAAUAAUGUGACUUACUUAAUACGAGUGCGUAUCGUCUCUGGAGCUGGAAAAGAUCUGGCACUUCAGGCCCUUCAGAAUUUUGUUGCAUCACAGAAUUUGAAUUCAUUGUGUGGAAGCUGUGCAUUGAGCAUACAAAUCCAGUGAAAAACAUCACCAUCUGAGCACGCCAUCGUCAAACCUCACAAACGGUCAACAUGCUCAUUUUCUCCUGGUGUUGGCUUCAUAUUAGCAUGGGUAAUAAUUUUAGAGUGCAAUUGUGGGUACAUUGUGUAGGUUACAGUGUUCUUUGAUUAUGGAACAAGAAUGAGUGUUUAAGGUGUUAAUAAUUGUUUAAGAUUACGAAGUUAACUGUUUAAGUUCAUUGUUCUUCAAAAUGUUCUGAGGUUUACCUUAAGAUUUACAGCUACUGUAUGUAUAGUGGACUGUUUCCAUCACUAGUAAAAAGCAAUAUAGUACAUCGCAAUAAUAAGAAAGUUUCUCAGAAUUAUAAUAAUAAGACAAUUUUCUCAUCAUUAUGAGAUCCAAUGCCUUUAUUCUGAUAUACUAAAUCCUAAUUAUGAGAUGCUGAGUUACUGUUAUACAAUAAGUCAUAAUUUAGACAUAUUAAGUAGUAAUUAUGCAACAUAAUUUAUUGGGAUAGCAAGUCAUGAGGUGCUAAGUCAUAAACAUGAGAUACUAAUUCAUAAUUAUUGAAAACCUUCUUAUUAUUUAUGAUUUAUCAUUUAGUACAUGGCUAUUUUCUUCUUUUCCAGCGGUGUAAAUGGGCCUCCAUUUGAAUUUAAAUAACUUUGCAAUACUUCUAUCAAGCUAAGUGAAUUUUGCUGUUUAUUUUUUCCUGUACAUAAAAAGUUUGAUGUUCUAAAGAGAAAAGAACGCUUUGAAUUGAGGGGCAUAUUUACUAAUAAAAGGAUUUUUUUAAAUAAUAAAAAAAGGAUUUUUUUUUAACAGUGCAAAAUCUCAAACAUUUGUUACAAGACCGCGUGUUUCAUCAAGCAUCCCUGACAAAGCAGCCUCUUUUAUAUAAAGGGAAUACAGAUACAAUACAUUCUAUAACAUACCAACUCACAGUAUGCAAGCUUAUACAUUUACAUUUAGGGCAUUUGGCUGACGCUCUUAUCCAGAGCAACUUAUAGUUUGAUCAUUUUACACAGGUAGGCGAAGGUGGAGUUAGGAGUCUUGCCCAAGGACUCUUAUUUGUGUAGUGUAGGGUGCUGCCUAGGUGGGGAUUGAACCCCAGUCUACAGUGUAGAAAGCAGAGGUGUUACCCACUAUACUAUCCCAACCACACUUAUAGUAAAAUAUGUUCUUACAUGGGCCUUUACAGUGCAUACAUUACAUAUUGUAAAUACAGAAUCUUACACGUCUUCUGAAACAUCCAGACAUCGUCUGCAGUUAGAAAGAGGUAGUUAGUUAAAGAGGUCAGCAGAGCUCAUAUUACUUGUACAUACAACCCCAAAUCAUAAAAGGUUGGGACAGUAUGAAAACAAUAUUUCAUUGUUAGUUACGUACAAAUAUACAUCCUUCCAAAACAAUUGAGGGUAAUUUAGGUCUAGUAUAAUUAAACGUGAUGUGAUUUGAAACAGGUGAUGCCAACAGGUGACUGUAAUCACGAUUUCCUACAAAACCAACAUCCAGGAAAGGCCUUGUCCUUGAGGAGCACAGAGGAGCCAAAAUCACUAGUUUGUCAACAUAUGUGUUAGAAAUGUAUUUAAAUGUUUAAAAUCAAUGGUCCUCAUAGAAGGAUUUGAAGGGGAUUUGGAUAUUUCACCCUCUAUACUGCGUAACAUAAUUAAAAGAUUUAAGGAAUCUGAAGGAAUUUCAAUGUGUAAAGGGCAAGGGGGCAAGCAAUGGAUAUUUCACCCUAAAACGGUUUAUCACUUGGGGUCUUCGGUCCACAAACAUGUGUUGUAAAAAGGAAUGACAACAAUGCAAAGAGGUAAAGGCUUUACAGUCCCUACUUUUUUAAAUGUGUUGCAAGAAACAUAAAGUAAGACAUCGAAUAAUGUUCUGUUGUAUUGUUGUCACUGUAAUACAGGACAAAAAUAAUUUGCAAAUCACUGUUUUCAGUUUACAUUUUAAUAUAUUGUUGCAACUUUUUCUGAUUUGAAGUUGUAUCAACCAUUUUAGAUGCAUUUACUAAAUGGUAAAGAAUAGUAAAGUGACUACUGGAAGUGAAUAUGUUGUGUUUGACUCUGUUCAUUUGACUCUGUUCAUUGUAUGCAUUGCUAAAUACAAUGGGCCUCAUGUCUGUAAAAACAAAGAAAGGAUAAAGUUAGUUCAAAUAGUUAAAGAAAGGAUGACAUUAAUAUAGUCUGACGUACGGUAUUUAUGGUGAAAUUUAAAGUAAGCACCGCAAAACUUUUAAUCAGUGUGACUAUGUAAUCACAUUUAUCACUGUAUCGAUAUCAAACUCCAUAUUAAAAUGAAAAACAUACCUG